GCUUCACCCCCCACCCCCAUUCAAACCUGGAGCCCGAGAGCGCGCUGAGCCGUGGACGCCGGGCGGGCAUGCUGCUGUUUGGGCGGCUCCUAUGUCCUGUGCGGGAACUGGGCUGGGGAAGCCGCUAUGCUGGACGGGGGCGAGGGCGAGCCAGCUCCGGGAUCUGCAGCCUUUAUUCAAGGCCCGCCCGCCCACCGCGGGGACCGUGGGAGAGAGCCUGGAGCUGAGGGAGGAGCGGCUGGGCAGGCUGGGGCGGAGGCCACCCGGGAGAGGCGGGACCUUAACCUCGGGUUUUGACCAAUGGGGUCCUUGGGGAAACUGAGUCUAGAAAAUGUUGGCUACAUGGUUCUUGGGAUGCUGCGCAACAGUGGGACGUCUGCUUCCCCGCCAUCUGUCAGCGGGCUGGGGCUAUCGGGGGUCCCUUCUGCACCACCCAGAAGGAAACGCAGUUCCUUGGUCCCUGCCGGGUCUCCCGGGAGCUGGAGAACAGGGAAGCCCUCCCCGCCCCCAACACCUAGUCGAAGGCGUACCCCAAAGGGAGCAGGGAUUCCGGGGAGGAAGGUGCGGAGGACCCUGGAGUGAAAGCGAUGGCAUACAUUUUCAGGGAGUUCAGACACCCCCAGAGAGGGGAAUCUUGUGUUUCAUCAUCGCUCUGAAUGCUUUGAAUCUAAUCCUCUUGACCCUGUCUCCCCUUCUCCCACUUUCCUAUAAAAGUCAUUUAAGGAAUGUAAUGAACCAGCACUGCCUUGUGUCUGCAUUCUCCAACCUUGCAAGCUUGGCAAGGUGAGGGGCCGCU
This 796-nucleotide long non-coding RNA is filed under the name Cavia porcellus (domestic guinea pig). Its description in RNAcentral is "lncRNA (ENSCPOG00000037201.1)". The record is from RNAcentral. Lineage: Eukaryota; Metazoa; Chordata; Mammalia; Rodentia; Caviidae.